AUUAUUCUUUGCGGGGUUGAGUCUGUCAUGUUGACUAUGACCUCCGGAGCUCUCGUCUAGAGUUGGCGAGUUGAAGAGUGCAAACGGCUCGAUGAGCAACCAGCUGAAGACGUCUAGAAUAAGGCCGGUGAAAAACAAAAGUGCCGCGCCGAUUCAGAUAACGGUCGAGCAGAUUCUUCGCGAUGCUUUCGAGCAGCGAGAGACACUGGUGAAGCCGCCAGAAUGGGAAAUUCGAGACAGUGAGGAGUUGUAUGAGUACCGGUUGAGAAAGCGGAAGGACUUCGAGGACUGGAUUAGCUUCGGUAGACAGAACAUCGCGACGUACAUGCGCUAUGCAAAAUGGGAGGAACAACAGAACGACUUGGUUAGAGCGCGGAGCGUGUACGAGCGUGCAUUAGAGAUGACGGUUCGCGAGCCGGUGGUCUGGGUUGCGUAUGCCGAGAUGGAGAUGCGUCAUAAGAACGUCAAUUUGGCGAGGAACGUGUGGGACAGAGCGGUCACGCUGAUGCCGAACGUGUCGCAAUUUUGGUACAAAUACAUUCAUAUGGAGGAAAUGCUCAAGAAUUACGCCGGCGUUAGGCAGCUUUACGAGCGGUGGAUGCAAUGGGUUCCAGAGGAGAAGGCCUGGUACGCGUACUUGCGCUGGGAGAUUCGAAAUCGCGAACACGAGCGCGUGAGGGACAUUUUUCACCGCUUGGUGCGAGUACACCCUUCCACGCGCUCGUUUAUCAAGUGGGCCAAAUACGAGGAGUCCGUGAACGACCUGGAGAGAGCCAGAGCGGUUUAUACGACGGCGUUCGAAGUUCUGUCGGGAGACGUGGAGCAGGGCGUGGAGCUGAGUGCUCAGGAAUGCGAGUUUCAAGAAAAACUAUUUGUGAGUUUUGCUCAGUUCGAAGAGCGAUGUCGCCAAUACGACCGAGCGAGGGCGAUUUACAAGUACGGGUUGGACAACUUGCCCAAGUCCUCGGCGAGAGAAGUUUAUAAGUCAUUCGUCACGUUCGAAAAAAAGUUCGGAAAUCGAGACACAAUCGAAGACGUCAUUUUCAACAAGCGAAGAUUUCGCUUCGAAGAGGAAGUCAAAGCCAAUCCUCAUGGGUACGAUAUUUGGUUCGACUAUUUGAAACUAGAAGAAUCGACCAAGAACCCCGCUCGGGUCAGAGAAAUUUACGAGCGCGCGAUUGCAAAUGUACCGCCUGUUCCCAUAAAGCAAUAUUGGAGGCGCUACAUUUUUUUGUGGAUCAAUUAUGCCAUCUACGAAGAACUUGAGGCAAAGGACAUCGAGCGCGCUCGACAGGUUUACAAGACCUGCCUGAACUUGAUCCCCCACCGCCAGUUUUCGUUCAGCAAAAUUUGGAUUAUGUUUGCGCACUUUGAACUGCGACAGAACGACCUUGAGGCUACGAGAAAAAUUAUGGGACAGGCUAUUGGAAAGGCUCCAAAAAAAAGAGUGUUCGAAGCCUACAUUCAGUUCGAGCAGGCCUUGGUCAACUUCGACCGAUGCAGGACCAUUUACACCAAAUGGAUAGAACACAGUCCGGAGAGCUGCCGUGCCUGGAUUGCCUUUUGCGAGUUUGAAAUCAGUCUCGGAGAGCACGAACGCGCGAUUGCCCUGUUCGAGCUGGCCAUCGACCAGCCCAUUUUGGACUUGCCUGAGCUUCUCUGGAAGGCCUACAUUGACUUCGAGAUUUCUCAGAAGCGCUACAAGCAGACGACGUCGUUGUACGAGCGACUUUUGCAGAGAACGCAGCAUGUCAAAGUUUGGCACUCUUUUGCACAGUUCAAGAGGAGCAUUGGGUCCAUUGGGGAUGCGCGAGAGAUUUACAAAAGGGGUUUUAAUUGUCUCAAGAGCGACGAGGCCAAGGACCAGAGAAUCACGCUCAUCGAGGCUUGGAGGGAUUUCGAGCAGGAAUUUGGCGACGAAAACACCCUUCGAGAAGUUGUAAACGAAAUGCCUCGACGCGUCAAAAAGAGGAGGCAAAUUCUCACGGAGGACGGCCAAGAAGCCGGGUGGGAGGAAUACUACGAUUACAUAUUCCCGGACCGCGAGGAGACGAAGCACAAGCUGAAGCUCUUGGAAGCAGCUAGGAAGUGGAAAGAGGAGCAGAGCAAAAGUGGUGAAAAAAAAUAAACAAGUGAAUAAAUAGUGAGGGGGAGCAUGCAAAAAGGGGGGAGUAUUCAAGGUUUGAGGAGAACGCGGUUCGCCGCCAUCAACAAAAAUCUGUUUUACGGAUUGAAAAAAGAUAUGAGUAAAAAAAAAAAAAAGUA
Molecule: RNA transcript, 2265 nt
Organism: Schistocerca gregaria
Lineage: Eukaryota; Metazoa; Arthropoda; Insecta; Orthoptera; Acrididae
Gene name: crooked neck-like protein 1
Exons: 3
Source: RefSeq, a predicted model, not a curated record